UACGUAGGGGGCGAGCGUUGUCCGGAUUUAUUGGGCGUAAAGAGCUCGUAGGCGGCUUGGUCGCGUCGACAUGUGAAACCCGCGGCUCAACUGGCGGGCCUGCGAGCCGAUAGCGGGCAGGCUAGAGGUUCGGUGAGGGGAGACUGGAAUUCCUGGUGUAGCGGUAGAAAUGCGCAGAUAAUCAGGAGGAACACCGGUGGCGAAGGCGGUCUCUGGGCCGAUGACUGACGCUGAGGAGCGAAGACGUGGGGAGCGAACAGG
Molecule: ribosomal RNA, 261 nt
Filed under: uncultured bacterium
Lineage: Bacteria
Description: partial 16S ribosomal RNA
Rfam family: Bacterial small subunit ribosomal RNA
Source: RNAcentral